This 440-nucleotide ribosomal RNA is filed under the name uncultured bacterium. Its description in RNAcentral is "partial 16S ribosomal RNA". It matches the Rfam family "Bacterial small subunit ribosomal RNA", at positions 338 to 795 of the family's 1533-position model. The record is from RNAcentral.
CCUACGGGAGGCAGCAGUGGGGAAUAUUGCACAAUGGGGGAAACCCUGAUGCAGCGACGCCGCGUGAGUGAAGAAGUAUUUCGGUACGUAAAGCUCUAUCAGCAGGGAAGAAAAUGACGGUACCUGACUAAGAAGCCCCGGCUAACUACGUGCCAGCAGCCGCGGUAAUACGUAGGGGGCAAGCGUUAUCCGGAUUUACUGGGGUUAAAGGGAGCGUAGACGGCAGCGCAAGUCUGGAGUGAAAUCCCAUGGCUUAACCAUGGAACUGCUUUGGAAACUGUGCAGCUAGAGUGCAGGAGAGGUAAGCGGAAUUCCUAGUGUAGCGGUGAAAUGCGUAGAUAUUAGGAGGAACACCAGUGGCGAAGGCGGCUUACUGGACUGUAACUGACGUUGAGGCUCGAAAGCGUGGGGAGCAAACAGGAUUAGAUACCCGAGUAGUC